CCCUUAGAUGUUCUGGGCCGCACGCGCGCUACACUGUUCGACGCAGCGAGUCUUAACCUUGACCGAAAGGUUUGGGUAAUCUUCAGCAAAGUCGAACGUGAUGGGGAUCGAUCAUUGCAAUUAUUGAUCGUGAACGAGGAAUUCCUAGUAAGUGCAAGUCAUCAGCUUGCGCUGAUUACGUCCCUGCCCUUUGUACACACCGCCCGUCGCUACUACCGAUUGAAUGCUCAGGUGAGCCAUUCGGACCUUCAUCAUGCCGGUUUCCGGUUUUGAUGAGGGAAAGUCUUGCGAACCUUAUCAUUUAGAGGAAGGAGAAGUCGUAACA
RNAcentral lists this ribosomal RNA (325 nucleotides) under uncultured eukaryote. RNAcentral describes it as "partial 18S ribosomal RNA". It matches the Rfam family "Eukaryotic small subunit ribosomal RNA", at positions 1470 to 1796 of the family's 1831-position model. The record is from RNAcentral.